GAUGAACGCUGGCGGCGUGCCUAAUACGUGCAAGUCGAGCGAACAGACGAGGAGCUUGCUCCUCUGACGUUAGCGGCGGACGGGUGAGUAACACGUGGAUAACCUACCUAUAAGACUGGGAUAACUUCGGGAAACCGGAGCUAAUACCGGAUAAUAUAUUGAACCGCAUGGUUCAAUAGUGAAAGACGGUUUUGCUGUCACUUAUAGAUGGAUCCGCGCCGCAUUAGCUAGUUGGUAAGGUAACGGCUUACCAAGGCAACGAUGCGUAGCCGACCUGAGAGGGUGAUCGGCCACACUGGAGCUGGGACACGGUCCAGACUCCUACGGGAGGCAGCAGUAGGGAAUCUUCCGCAAUGGGCGAAAGCCUGACGGAGCAACGCCGCGUGAGUGAUGAAGGUCUUCGGAUCGUAAAACUCUGUUAUUAGGGAAGAACAAAUGUGUAAGUAACUAUGCACGUCUUGACGGUACCUAAUCAGAAAGCCACGGCUAACUACGUG
Molecule: ribosomal RNA, 497 nt
Filed under: uncultured bacterium
Lineage: Bacteria
Description: partial 16S ribosomal RNA
Rfam family: Bacterial small subunit ribosomal RNA
Source: RNAcentral